RNAcentral lists this ribosomal RNA (253 nucleotides) under uncultured bacterium. Its description in RNAcentral is "partial 16S ribosomal RNA". It matches the Rfam family "Bacterial small subunit ribosomal RNA", at positions 524 to 776 of the family's 1533-position model. The record is from RNAcentral.
UACGAAGGGGACUAGCGUUGUUCGGAAUCACUGGGCGUAAAGCGCACGUAGGCGGAUUUGUAAGUCAGGGGUGAAAUCCCGGGGCUCAACCUCGGAACUGCCUUUGAUACUGCGAAUCUCGAGUCCGAUAGAGGUGGGUGGAAUUCCUAGUGUAGAGGUGAAAUUCGUAGAUAUUAGGAAGAACACCGGUGGCGAAGGCGGCCCACUGGAUCGGUACUGACGCUGAGGUGCGAAAGCGUGGGGAGCAAACAGG